AUGGACGAUGUAAGUGCAGUGCCAAGGGUUAUGUCGUUCCAGUUAUUAAAUGAAAUUACAAAAAAUUUCUCUACGGAAAUGAAAAUUGGCGCUGGAUCAUUCGGAAAUGUUUAUAAGGGACAGCAUACAGAUGGGGAAUGGAUUGCUGUGAAGCUGCUUCAUAAUUACAUUCCAGGACUUGAAGAUGAGCAAUUUGAGAAGGAGUAUCACAAUCUCGCAAAUCUGCAACACAACAAUAUUGUGCGGUUAGUUGGCUAUAGUCAUGAAACUCGGCGAGAAUUCCUACCUUAUAAUGGUGACCUGGUCUUGGCUGACAUUACACAGAGAGCACUUUGCUUUGAAUAUAUGCAAAAUGGAAGCCUUGACAAAUUUCUUACUGAUGAAUCUAAGGGACAUGAUUGGCGCACACGCUAUGCAAUAAUUAAAGGAAUUUGUCAGGGUUUGAAAUAUCUUCAUGAGGAAUUGCAAACUCCAAUGUAUCAUUUGGAUUUAAAACCAGCCAAUGUACUGCUAGAUGAAAAUAUGGUGCCCAAAAUCGCGGAUUUUGGCUUGUCAAGGCUCUUCGGAGGAGAACAGUCAAAAUUCACAAAAAGUGACAUAGGAACACGUGGGUAUGUACCACCGGAAUAUAUAGACGCCUGUAUAAUCUCCAUUAAGUUUGACAUAUUCAGUUUGGGUGUGGUAAUUAUAAAGAUAAUGGCAGGACCAACGGCAUACUUUCGAAGUGCUGAAAUGUCUCCCCAAGAAUUCAUAGAGAUUGUACAUGCUUACUGGAACACUAAGCUACAAACAACACUGGUUCACGCAUUGGAGCCAUAUUCCAAACAAGUAAAGAGAUGCAUAGAAAUAGCUUUAAAUUGUGUGGAUGCAGAUCGACACAAAAGACCAAGUAUAGGGGAAAUCAUUAAUGUUUUGAAUGAGAUGGAGACUGCAAUACAAGUCCCUGGCGCUUCAAUGAAUCACACAGGAUCAUCGAUGAACAAGAUAAAUAGCGACCAGGAAAGAGAGUUCCUAAUUAGGGAUGCAAAGGAAACGCUGGAUUAUGUACAUCGAGGACAAGGGAACACAUCAUUCGAGGACUGCCGACAAACUCACAUAGCAGAACUAGAAGAACAAGAGAGGAAAAGACUGAGCACGGCGGUGAAUAUCUUUGGUGAAGUAGUUGACAACUACAAGUUGGAUCAAAUGCCAGAGUACAUGGGGAAACCUAAGAAGCGGGAAGACCGAGCACGCGAGGCCUUGAAUCUGAUGUGCGAAGACCGCAAAGAUGUCAUGGCUUGCAGGUACUUGUGUCCCAAGGUAAUCAUCCAAGUCUAUUGGCCGCGGGCCACGCAGUGCUUCAUCUAUAACGCGACCGGCGACACCCUCUACCACGUCGGCAACCAUGACUGGUCUGGGCAUAUCCUCAAUGGCAGGGGCUACCCUGAACGGAUUGGCAAUGGGCAGUGGGCUGCCUUCGUUCACUGCCAAGGGUCAUUUUCAGGUUCGAUGGCAUCGGUUAUCUACCGUGGCAAGAACAAAGAUGGUGGAGACCAGCACUACCUGGUUUCCUGGAGUAACCCAAUUAGAUAUACUUUUGGGUCCAACAAGGCUUAUUGCGGGAUCGGCCCUGUAGACUACUUCCAUACACGUUGGGAUCAUACACACGAGAACCUUUCAAAUUCAGAUAACUAUUCAUACGCCAAGUCUGACGGAUGCGAGAUUGAUUCAAAAAUUGGCAAGCGUGAUGCCCCAUUUUUUACUGCAAAGAUCACCUCACUGGUUGGUCAUCUCCAGCAUUGUGCAAGGAUCUAUAUGGAUAAAUAG
This 1806-nucleotide ribosomal RNA is filed under the name Triticum aestivum (bread wheat). Its description in RNAcentral is "partial small subunit ribosomal RNA". The record is from RNAcentral. Lineage: Eukaryota; Viridiplantae; Streptophyta; Magnoliopsida; Poales; Poaceae.